GGGGCCGACAUUGCGACACCACGGAGCUCCAGCCGGCUGAGGCGGAUGAGCAUGCCGCAGGGCGGCGGAGGUUGACGAAGAGAGACAAGCCUCACAGGGCUGCCACUAGGAAUGUGUGUAAUAUUCAGGCAGAGAUUGUGCUCUAAGAUUAUUACUCCAGCUGAUACCCUUUGGAAUUCUGGAACGAACAGGAGAGGCCGAGCCAGUUAAAGACCCACCACGAGAACCCACUAAAAUCACAGGAAUGUUUGCACGAGAUGAAAUUACCACAGGAAAAACCUGAAUUAACCAUUCUAAUGUCACCUGUUUUCCAUCAACUUAAAAAUCACUGAUAUUGGGCUAUUUCCUGGCUGCCAUGUCCUGAGCUGCUUUCCUCUUCCAUGCCCUUCCACCAUGAUGUUGUGUGUCACCUUGAGACAAGAGUUAAGGAAUCAGCUGACCAUGGACUGAGCUUCUGAAACUGUGAGCCAAAAUAAACUUUUCCUCCUUUAACUGCUCUUGUCAGGUCUUUUGGUCACAGCAACACAAAGCUGACUAAAACAGAAAUUUGUACCAAGAAGUGGGGUCAUUGUUAUGACUAACCUGACCACAUGGCCCUGAAGCUCUUGGAGUUGGUUUGUGGGUGGAUGAAUUUUGAAAAGUUUAGAGAUGUAAGCUGGAAAAACUAGAACACUAUAAGUGGAACUUACCAUAGAUGAGUUAGGUGGAAGCUCAGUAGACCAGAAUGACGAGAGGACAGCAGACAGUAAAGACUGGGCUCAUGAGGUUUCAGAGGAGGAGGAACACUGUACUGGAAAUUAGAAUAGAGGCCAUUCAUGUUAUAUUCUGGCAAAUAUUCUGUUGUCCAUGUUCUGCCCAUGUCCUGAGACUUUCUGUGAGGCCUAAUUUAAAGGUGAUGAACUAAUAAAUUAAUUAGGCAGAAGAAAUUUCAAGAAAGCACAGCAUUCUGGUGUGGAUGCUUUUUAGCCAAGUUUAUUGUGAUAAUCAGGGAGCAGAGCAGAAAGAUUUGAAAAUCUUGCAGUUUGACCAGAAAAAUGAGAGUAAAACUGGAGCUAAGGAAGUUGUGAUUGUUAAAGACAUCACAGGCAUGAAAGAGAGGCU
Long non-coding RNA from Sciurus carolinensis (gray squirrel), 1101 nucleotides. RefSeq lists it as uncharacterized. NCBI's taxonomy places the organism in Eukaryota, Metazoa, Chordata, Mammalia, Rodentia, Sciuridae. The record is from RefSeq and is a predicted model, not a curated record. The transcript is spliced from 3 exons.